GCUCCGCAAGGAGAGUGGCAGACGGGUGAGUAACGCGUGGGAAUCUACCUAGUUCUACGGAACAACAGUUGGAAACGACUGCUAAUACCGUAUACGCCCUAAGGGGGAAAGAUUUAUCGGAAUUAGAUGAGCCCGCGUAAGAUUAGCUAGUUGGUGGGGUAAUGGCCUACCAAGGCGACGAUCUUUAGCUGGUCUGAGAGGAUGAUCAGCCACACUGGGACUGAGACACGGCCCAGACUCCUACGGGAGGCAGCAGUGGGGAAUAUUGGACAAUGGGCGCAAGCCUGAUCCAGCCAUGCCGCGUGAGUGAUGAAGGCCUUAGGGUUGUAAAGCUCUUUCAGUGGGGAAGAUAAUGACGGUACCCACAGAAGAAGCCCCGGCUAACUUCGUGCCAGCAGCCGCGGUAAUACGAAGGGGGCUAGCGUUGUUCGGAUUUACUGGGCGUAAAGCGCACGUAGGCGGAUUGGUCAGUUAGGGGUGAAAUCCUGGAGCUCAACUCCAGAACUGCCUUUAAUACUGCCAGUCUAGAGUCCGGAAGAGGUAAGUGGAACUCCUAGUGUAGAGGUGGAAUUCGUAGAUAUUAGGAAGAACACCAGUGGCGAAGGCG
RNAcentral lists this ribosomal RNA (607 nucleotides) under Devosia sp. t2. Its description in RNAcentral is "bacterial SSU rRNA". It matches the Rfam family "Bacterial small subunit ribosomal RNA", at positions 81 to 723 of the family's 1533-position model. The record is from RNAcentral. Lineage: Bacteria; Pseudomonadati; Pseudomonadota; Alphaproteobacteria; Hyphomicrobiales; Devosiaceae.